RNAcentral lists this ribosomal RNA (1810 nucleotides) under Basiria sp. SAN-2005. RNAcentral's name for it is "eukaryotic LSU rRNA". It matches the Rfam family "Eukaryotic large subunit ribosomal RNA", at positions 1124 to 2831 of the family's 3401-position model. Lineage: Eukaryota; Metazoa; Nematoda; Chromadorea; Rhabditida; Tylenchidae. The record is from RNAcentral.
AAGUGGGCCAUUUUUGGUAAGCAGAACUGGCGAUGUGGGAUGAACCAAACGCGGAGUUAAGGUGCCAAAGUUUCCGCUCAUCAGACCCCAUAAAAGGUGUUGGUUGAUAUAGACAGCAGGACGGUGGCCAUGGAAGUCGGAAUCCGCUAAGGAGUGUGUAACAACUCACCUGCCGAAUCAACUAGCCCUGAAAAUGGAUGGCGCUAGAGCGGAACACCUAUACUCUGCCGUUAGCGGCUUGUAUUCCGCGCUUGCGUGGAUAUCUGGCCCUAACGUGUAGGCGGGUCGUAGCGGUUUGCGUAGAAGGCUUUGGGCGUGGGCCCAGCUGGAGCUUCCGCUAGUGCAGAUCUUGGUGGUAGUAGCAAAUAUUCAAGUGAGAUCCUUGAAGACUGAAGUGGAGAAGGGUUCCACGUGAACAGCAGUUGAAUGUGGGUCAGUCGAUCCUAAGGCACCGGCUAAUGCCGUUAUCUACUACGACGCUUACUAUUGCAUCUUCGGGUGUGAUGGCGCCGUAUGCCGAAAGGGAAGCAGGUUAAUAUUCCUGCACCAGGACAAGGAGAGGGUCGCCCGCAAGGGUGGCUAAGCGCGGUAACGCAAACGAACUCGCAGACGUUGUGUGGAGUCCGAGCCAGAGUUCUCUUUUCUGGUUUAGGAGUCGUGUCCCUGGAAACGGUUCAGCCGGAGAUAGGGAUGUUGACUAUUUUCCGUAAAGCAUCGCGGUUCCUGCGGUGUCUCGUGCGCUCCACACGACCCUUGAAAAUGCGAGGGAGGCUUUGUAAAUUUCUUGCCUGGUCGUACCGAUAUCCGCAGCAGGUCUCCAAGGUGAACAGCCUCUAGUCGAUAGAAUAAUGUAGGUAAGGGAAGUCGGCAAAAUAGAUUCGUAACUUCGGGAAAAGAAUUGGCUCUAAAGGUUGGGUCGGUCGGGCUGUUGUGUGAAACAGGCGGCGCCUGUCCGUGGCUGCGUCGGUUGCCCCUCGGGGUGGCUGGUGUGGACUAGUGGUGGGAACUGCUUGUGGAGCACUUCAGCUAUGUGCCCGUCGGCAACGGCGGUGCACUUCGGUCGGCGAUAAACAACCAACUUAGAACUGGCACGAACUCGGGGAAUCCGACUGUCUAAUUAAAACAGAGGAGACGGAUGGUCCUUGUGGACGUUGACCGUGUCUGACGUCUGCCCAGUGCUUUGAAUGUUAAAACAAGGAAACUUGAUUAAGCGCAGGUAAACGGCGGGAGUAACUAUGACUCUCUUAAGGUAGCGAAAUGCCUCGGCCGGUAAUUUCGGUCUUGCAUGAAUGGCGUAACGAGAUUCCCACUGUCCCUAUCUACUAUCUAGCGAAACCACAGCCAAGGGAACGGGCUUGGCGAACUUAGCGGGGAAAGAAGACCCUGUUGAGCUUGACUCUAGUCUGACUUUGUGAAGAAUCAUGAGAGGUGUAGCAUAAGUGGGAGGCCGCAAGGUCGACAGUGAAAUACCACUACUUUCAUCGAUUCCUUACUUAAUCGGUCGAACGGUGUUGAAAGCAAUUUCUUAAUUUUGGUGUUAAGGCUGGCCACUCGGUGGCCGGUCGAUCCGCGCCGAUGACAGUGUCAGGCGGGGAGUUUGACUGGGGCGGUACAUCUACAAAACUGUAACGUAGGUGUCCUAAGGCGAGCUCAGAGAGGACGGAAACCUCUCGUAGAGCAAAAAGGCAAAAGCUUACUUGAUCUUGAUUUUCAGUACGAAUACAGACCGCGAAAGCGUGGCUUAUCGAUCCUUUUGAGUUGUAGAAAGUUUCUAGCAAGAGGUGUCAGAAAAGUUACCACAGGGAUAACU